AUUUCUUUUUAAAUAGAGUUACGCAUUUUCUCAGCGCGCGUGUAUAAACAAUAAUAAGAUUGAAAGACCGCUAAUGUUAAACAUAA
Mycetomoellerius zeteki is the source of this 86-nucleotide long non-coding RNA. RefSeq lists it as uncharacterized. The record is from RefSeq and is a predicted model, not a curated record. NCBI's taxonomy places the organism in Eukaryota, Metazoa, Arthropoda, Insecta, Hymenoptera, Formicidae. The transcript has 3 exons.